RNAcentral lists this ribosomal RNA (475 nucleotides) under Hemiramphus far (blackbarred halfbeak). Its description in RNAcentral is "partial small subunit ribosomal RNA". It matches the Rfam family "Bacterial small subunit ribosomal RNA", at positions 788 to 1491 of the family's 1533-position model. Lineage: Eukaryota; Metazoa; Chordata; Actinopteri; Beloniformes; Hemiramphidae. The record is from RNAcentral.
CACUAUGCUCAGCCAUAAACCUAGAUAAAAUUUUACAUCUAUUAUCCGCCAGGGUACUACGAGCGCUAGCUUAAAACCCAAAGGACUUGGCGGUGCUUCAAACCCACCUAGAGGAGCCUGUUCUAGAACCGAUGAUCCCCGUUAAACCUCACCCUCUCUUGUUUUUACCGCCUAUAUACCGCCGUCGUCAGCUUACCCUGUGAAGGUCCCAUAGUAAGCAUAAUCAGCACAACUCAAAACGCCAGGUCGAGGUGUAGCAUAUGAGGGGGCAAGAAAUGGGCUACAUUCCCUAAAUCCGGGCAUACGAAAAACAUAAUGAAAAAUAUGUCAUGAAGGAGGAUUUAGCAGUAAGCAAGAAAUAGAGAGUCUCGCUGAAACUGGCCAUGAAGCGCGUACACACCGCCCGUCACUCUCCCCGAAAAAACUAAACAAAUAUAUAAAACCCUAAUCUUAACAGAGGGGAGGUAAGUCGUAA